GACGAACGCUGGCGGCGUGCCUAACACAUGCAAGUCGAGCGGGGACUUGAUCAUGAAGUUUUCGGAUGGAUUGGUCAAGUUCUAGCGGCGGACGGGUGAGUAACGCGUGAGCAACCUGCCUUCUACUGGGGAAUAACGCAGCGAAAGUUGUGCUAAUACCGCAUGAGACCACAGUGCCACAUGACACAGGGGUCAAAGAUUUAUCGGUAGAAGAUGGGCUCGCGUCUGAUUAGCUAGUUGGUGAGGUAACGGCCCACCAAGGCGACGAUCAGUAGCCGACCUGAGAGGGUGAUCGGCCACAUUGGAACUGAGACACGGUCCAAACUCCUACGGGAGGCAGCAGUGGGGAAUAUUGGGCAAUGGGCGCAAGCCUGACCCAGCAACGCCGCGUGAGGGAAGAAGGUUUUCGGAUUGUAAACCUCUUUUAAGAGGGACGAUAAUGACGGUACCUCUUGAAUAAGCCACGGCUAACUACGUG
Molecule: ribosomal RNA, 478 nt
Filed under: uncultured bacterium
Lineage: Bacteria
Description: bacterial SSU rRNA
Rfam family: Bacterial small subunit ribosomal RNA
Source: RNAcentral